This is a non-coding RNA of Pelobates cultripes (western spadefoot toad), 220 nucleotides long. NCBI's taxonomy places the organism in Eukaryota, Metazoa, Chordata, Amphibia, Anura, Pelobatidae. The record is from the annotation of a GenBank genome assembly.
CGAACAGCAGUGUUCUGCCGUCGAGUGUCUGGAACCCAAAUCGGACACUCGGCUAGGCAAACACCGCUGAGACCUCCACACUACCUGUAAAUUUGUGUAGAAACUACCGAACGGCUAUCCGUUCGGUAGACAGAAACCCAUGAACAAGGGGAUUCAUUUGAAUCCUCUCCAGUCCCCAGAGCCUAAGUCAUUCGUGCAGUUUAUUCCCUUUUUCUUUGAC